CAAUAGCGUAUAUUUAAGUUGUUGCAGUUAAAAAGCUCGUAGUUGGAUUUCGGUUAAGAGCGACCGGUCCGCCGUUUGGUGUGCACUGGUUGGUUUUAACUUCCUGUAGAGGACGUGCUCUGGGUUUAACGACCUGGACUCGGAGUCUACGUGGUUACUUUGAAAAAAUUAGAGUGUUCAAAGCGGGCUUACGCUUGAAUAUUUCAGCAUGGAAUAACACUACAGGACUCCUGUCCUAUUUCGUUGGUCUCGGGACGGGAGUAAUGAUUAAGAGGAACAGUUGGGGGCAUUCGUAUUUCAUUGUCAGAGGUGAAAUUCUUGGAUUUAUGAAAGACGAACUUCUGCGAAAGCAUUUGCCAAGGAUGUUUNCAUUAA
RNAcentral lists this ribosomal RNA (375 nucleotides) under uncultured eukaryote. Its description in RNAcentral is "partial 18S ribosomal RNA". It matches the Rfam family "Eukaryotic small subunit ribosomal RNA", at positions 592 to 976 of the family's 1831-position model. The record is from RNAcentral.